RNAcentral lists this transfer RNA (100 nucleotides) under Cristinia sonorae. It matches the Rfam family "tRNA". From Rfam's summary of the family: Transfer RNA (tRNA) molecules are approximately 80 nucleotides in length. Lineage: Eukaryota; Fungi; Basidiomycota; Agaricomycetes; Agaricales; Stephanosporaceae. The record is from Rfam by way of RNAcentral.
GCCCGCCUAGCUCAAUCGGAUAGAGCGUCAGACUCUUACGAGUGCGGGUAUAACAGAUCCUGUCAUCUGAAGGCUGCGAGUUCGACCCUCGCGGUGGGCU